RNAcentral lists this non-coding RNA (779 nucleotides) under Philonthus decorus. The record is from RNAcentral. Lineage: Eukaryota; Metazoa; Arthropoda; Insecta; Coleoptera; Staphylinidae.
UUAAAGUUUUAUUCUAGCUUUGAGGAUUAAUGUAUGGAUGAAUUAUAUGUAAAUUUUUGUGUUGAGUGCUAGUUUAAAUAAUUGGUGUUAUCAGUAUUGCAAUAACUAAUUUUGAACAUUAAUUAAUGUUAGAUUUAGCUAUUCAUAACAGUAUUAACAAAAUUUGUGCCAGCAGUUGUGGUUAUACAGAUAAUACAAUUAAUUUAAUUUGGUUUUGUAAUUAAUUUAGUUAAUUUAAAUAUAGUAAGAAAUUUAUUGGGUGAAAUUUUAAAUUUUUCUUUAAUUUUUAGGUUAAAAAAUGAGGUUAUUAAAUUUAGUGUUAAACUAGGAUUAGAUACCCUAUUAUUAUAAAUGUAAAUUUUUAAACUUAAUGAUUAACAGUUAUGUUCUUUAAAGUUAAAGGAUUUGGCGGUAUUUUAGUCUAUUUAGAGGAACCUGUUCUAUAAUUGAUAAUCCACGAUUUAUUGUACUUGUCUUAAUUAGUUUGUAUAUCGUCGUAGUUUGAAUAUUUUUAAAGAAAUUGAAUGUUCAAGAUUCUUAAUAAGGAAAGAAAUCAGAUCAAGGUGCAGUUUAUAGAUAAGAAGAAAUGGGUUACAAUAAAUUUAUUUAUAUGGUUUAAAUAUUUGAAAGAUAUUUAAUAAAGUGGAUUUAAAAGUAAUAAAGUUUAAUUAGAUUUUAUGAUUUUAGCUCUAGAAUAUGUACAUAUCGCCCGUCGCUCUCAUAUAAAGUGAGAUAAGUCGUAACAUAGUAGGUGUACUGGAAAGUGUACCUGGUUGGUA